GACACGGCCCAAACUUCUACGGAAGGCAGCAGUAGGGAAUUUUUCACAAUGGGCGAAAGCCUGAUGGAGCAAUGCCGCGUGACUGAUGAAGGUCUUCGGAUUGUAAAGGUCUGUUGUAAGGGAAGAAAUGGUAAAACAGGAAAUGGUUUUAUCUAUGACGGUACCUUACCAGAAAGCCACGGCUAACUAUGUGCCAGCAGCCGCGGUAAUACAUAGGUGGCAAGCGUUAUCCGGAUUUAUUGGGCGUAAAGGGUGCGUAGACGGUUUUGCAAGUCUGAGGUUAAACUUAGGAGCUCAACUCCUAAUCGCCUUGGAAACUACAAGACUAGAGUAUAGGAGAGGUUAGUGGAAUUCCAUGUGUAGCGGUGGAAUGUGUAGAUAUAUGGAGGAACACCAGUGGCGAAGGCGGCUAACUGGCCUAUCACUGACGUUGAAGCACGAAAGCGUGGGGAGCAAAUAGGAUUAGAUACCCUAGUAGUCCACGCUGUAAACGAUGAGUACUAAGUGUUGCCAUAAAGGCAGUGCUGUAGCUAACGCAUUAAGUACUCCGCCUGAGUAGUAUGCUCGCAAGAGUGAAACUCAAAG
RNAcentral lists this ribosomal RNA (585 nucleotides) under uncultured Hyphomicrobiales bacterium. Its description in RNAcentral is "bacterial SSU rRNA". It matches the Rfam family "Bacterial small subunit ribosomal RNA", at positions 323 to 906 of the family's 1533-position model. The record is from RNAcentral. Lineage: Bacteria; Pseudomonadati; Pseudomonadota; Alphaproteobacteria; Hyphomicrobiales.